UAACGAAUAUUCCGCAAUGGGCGCAAGCCUGACGGAGCGAUGCCGCGUGCAGGACGAAGCCCCUCGGGGUGUAAACUGCUGUCAGGGUUUAGGAACACAAUGACCAAACCCAAAGGAAGAGGCGACUAACUCUGUGCCAGCAGUCGCGGUAAUACAGAGGCCUCAAGCGUUAAUCGGAAUCACUGGGCUUAAAGGGUGCGUAGGCGGAGCCGCAAGUGCCUUGUGAAAUCCCACCGCUUAACGGUGGAACUGCUCGGUAGACUGCGGUUCUUGAGGUCGGUAGGGGCCGCUGGAACUCUAGGUGGAGCGGUGAAAUGCGUAGAUAUCUAGAGGAACGCCAAAGGUGAAGACAGGCAACUGGGCCGAAACUGACGCUGAGGCACGAAAGCGUGGGUAGCGAACGGGAUUAGAUACCCCCGUAGUCC
RNAcentral lists this ribosomal RNA (425 nucleotides) under uncultured bacterium. Its description in RNAcentral is "bacterial SSU rRNA". It matches the Rfam family "Bacterial small subunit ribosomal RNA", at positions 355 to 796 of the family's 1533-position model. The record is from RNAcentral.